AUUUCUCAUAUUUCUCCGCCCUCUCAUCCCCACCUCGCUCGCCCUCGCUCCCUAGCCUUCGCUCUCUCUCCUUCGCCGCCACGUCCACUCUUUCCUCCGAUCUAAAGAAACGUAGCAGCAACCGCAUCUCGCCAUUGUUUCCUCUCUUACUCGCCGGAACCCUAGGCCGGUCCUGCUUCGUCUUCUCCGGUCUAGGGUUUUAGCCCUAUUCAAGUGCCCGUUUCCGAAACCCUAGAACCAGGAUAAUUUGAUAGUGUUGACUUCAGCUGUAUUGGAGUUAUUUUCACAAUGGGUUUUGAUAACGAGUGUAUACUGAACAUCCAGUCUCUUCCUGGUGAAUAUUUCUGCCCUGUUUGUCGCACACUUAUCUACCCAAACGAGGCUUUACAAUCGCAGUGCACCCAUCUGUACUGCAAACCAUGUUUAGCCUAUGUUGUGGCCACUACACAUGCUUGUCCUUAUGAUGGAUACCUGGUGACUGAAGCAGAUUCUAAGCCACUGAUUGAAUCAAAUAAAGCACUUGCGGAGACCAUUGGCAAGGUGGCAGUUUACUGUCUCUAUCACAGGAGUGGAUGCCAAUGGCAGGGAACUUUGUCUGAAUGCAUUGCACAUUGCACUGGUUGUACCUUUGGAAAUUCACCUGUUGUAUGCAACAGGUGUGGUACCCAGAUUAUACAUCGGCAAGUACAAGAGCAUACACAAAUAUGCCCUGGUUUACAACCACAAGCACAGCAGGCAGAUAGUGGUCAGGGUCAAGCUUCGACAACAUCAAACCAAGCUGUUUCCCAGGAUCCUGCCGUGGCCUCCUCAGCAGUUCCUGCAACAACCACUUCAACAGCUACUGCAAGCACAACUUCUACAACUACUGCAGCUACAGCUACUCCUGCAGCAACUGCUACUGCUACUGCUCCUGCAACCGUGCCUAUUGCUUCUGCUACUACCACUACACCUGCUGGUGCAUCUCAAGGCCAAGCUAAUGCAACUGCUUAUGCACAAGCUGUAGCCCAGGCUUCGACUCCACAACAAUGGUACCAGCAACAGCAAUUGCAAUACCAGCAGUACUAUCAGAUGUAUCCUGGCUAUGAUGCUUACCAGCAGCAUUAUCAACAGUAUGCUCAAUAUCAACAGCAAGGCUACCCACAGUAUCCCCAGCCCCAAAUGCAAGUUGUUCCUCAGAAUGCAACACAAGGACAGUCACAGCCUGCAUCAUAUGUGCAGCCUCAACCUCAUCUCCAAACCCAACCUUAUCCCCAACCUCAGACUCAAGCCCCGGCCCAGCCUCUACCCCAGCCCCAGCCACAAGCCCAGGCAACUCAAGUGCAACUGCAGCAGCAGCAGCCUCCUGUGAUGCAAGCCCAACAACAACCACUAUCCCAGCCCCAACCCCAACCCCAACCUCAACCCCAACUUGUGCAGUUGCAGGCACAACAACCUCAUACACCUGGUCAGCAGCCUUAUGCUCAAGCACACACACAAACUAAUCAACUACCCCAAGCACAAAUAGCAGGUCAGCAAUUUGGGCAGCCACCCCAGUCACACUAUCCCCAGCCUCAGCCUCAGCCUCAGCCUCAGCCUCAGUCUCAGCCCCAGGUGCAAUCACAACAGCAGAUGCAGGCACCACCGUAUCAACAGACACUUCAGCCACAGCAGCAUUUACAAUCUGUCCCUCAUCAGCAAUCUCAUCCACAUGUUCAACCACAGGCCCGUCCUACUGCCAUUCAACAGCCACCUAUGCAACUGCAGCCUCAUUCCCAGUAUCCUAGUGCUCAUCCCCAAAGCCAGUCCCAGCCAAUGGCACAACCUCAGCAUCCCUUGGCUCAUGCAGUGACAGGACAUCAGUCCUACCAACAACCUCAGAUGCUUCAGCAAACCCAGCCUGGUACCCUGCCACAACGCCCCAUGCUCAUGCAGCCACCACAGCAGGGUGUGCCACAACAACAUCCUGUUCAAUUGCCAAACCAGUUUGCACCUCAACAGCCUCCUAGGAUGCCUCCACCUUCUGGGUAUAUGCCAAUGCAAGGCCAACAGCAGUCGAUGCUACAUACGCAAAGACCUCCUGCAAGUCAUCCUCAGCAGCAGCCUCCUGUUCCCCUUCCUCAGCAUGCCCAACAUUUGCACCAGCAUCCUGGCGUGCAUGCACAGGCAACUCAGCAGGGUUUGCCUCCUCAGCAAUCACAUGGCCAUUUGCAUCCUGGCCAGCAGUUUCCGCAGGGGAUGCUCUCAUCACAGCAGCAAUUGCCUCCUCAGGUUCCACCACAUAUGCAACAGCAUGUUUCAGUGCAGAUGCAUCCUCAGCAAAAUGUGCCACCGGCUCAUGGUUUGGCAACACAUCAAGCACAGGCUGUAGCCAUCAGGCCUACGAUUGCAAAUAAUGGCAUGCCACAUCAAUCAAUUGAACAGUUUCCUGGUGGACCUGGUAAGCCCGCACAACCUCCUCUGAAUCAACAAUUGCCAAGUCAGAGUCACUUGGCAUGGCCUGGCACAAAUUUGGCAGCGACAUAUGAGUCGCAAAGGUCUCAUCUUCCCCAAACAGGUAGCCAGGGCAGUUCGAAAGCUGUAUCUACUGCUCCACAUUCAGGGAUAGUAGAUAAAGUGGGCCAUGCCCCUGAUCCAUCAUCAGAUUUAGCUGCAAAGAAUGCUGAAGGGAGUGGGCAAAUUGAAAGAUCAGAAACAGCUGUCACGAAGAUUCCGGAAGUAGGGUUGGAAGCAGAUAAAGAAAAAGCUGGUGGAGAGUUUAAGGAAAAGGACAUUCAAGCUGAGGUGGAAUCAACACUGAUCCAUGGUAGAAAACUUGAUUCUUAUGCUGAAGAGGAAAAUGUGGAGCUUACCGAACCCAAGCUUACAAUGAAGGAGGAAUUGGCUGAAUUGUCAGAAGAUGGUUCUGAGAGAUCGAAUGUUCCUAAAGAUGGACAUGCUGAGGAAAAUCAGAGUGCAGAAGGUAAACCCAAUGAAAAGGCUGGUGGCAUGGUGGAAGUCCAAGGGGCGAAACUAUCGUCUGAUGAUAAUGCACAGUUGCAUGCCAUUUCUACUGCUGUUCCCAGGGAGUCAUUUGGCUUAAGUGAAGGACAGACUGCUGGGGAUGUUACUAGUAAAACUCAUCCUCCUCAGCAAUUGACAUCUCCUAGUAGUGAUAAAGGUCAGCAGCAACAGCUAGCUCAUCAACGUGCUCCUCCAUCCAUUGAAGAAGCAUCCUUCCUGCCUGCUUAUCAUGACAAGAACACAUCCCAGUUAGCUUGGCAAGGCCCAGGAUCUGGUAUGCCUCAAGGUAUUCCAACAUCAGGUUCUUUAACGGGUAAGGAGGGUUAUCCAACACAACACCUUCCCUACAGUCAUCCUCUGAAUGUUCCAGUCACAACCCCUAGGUAUCAGGUUCCUGAUAGAAUAUUACCACAUCAUAUGCCACUUCCUGGGCCCAUUCCAGAUAGAAGACCCCAGGAUGCUCCUCCAUAUCAAAUGCAGGUACCUGGGCAAAACAUGGCAUCAGGCCAAAUGAGACCCCCAGGUCAUAGUUUUCCUGAACCUAAUCCUCGUCAAGGGCAUACUUCAAUUGUACAAGACCCACUUAGGCCUCCAAGUGGGCAACCAUAUGGUGGCAGUUAUCAUUCUGAUGUGCCACAGGGUACCUUUCCUGGUCUAGGUUUGCCCACCACAGGUAGAGUUCCUGGACAUGUUGGGUUUUCACAACAUGGGUUUCCAGAACAGGGUAUCUCUCCUCAAGGGCAAGGUCGAAGUCAUUUACCUCUGCCACAUGCUGGUACGAGAGUCUCACAUGGUGAAGCUUUAACACAAUUACCUCUGCAUGCACCACACUCUGGAGCCUUUAAUACAUCAAAUCCCAUGAUGUCAAGAGGACCUUUUCAUCCAGAAGAUCGUGGAGGUCCUUCUCAUCUUGGACCGGCCAAUGCUUUGGAAGCUGAAUCAUAUGAUGUCAGGAGGCCUGGAUUUUCUGAUCUUAGGCAGCCCGAUCCACUUGUCCAGUCAAAUGUGAUUAAGGCUAAUGGGAUUCCAGUAAAAGUUCAAGUUGAUGGUAUGCGUGAUUCUUCUUUUUCUCAUGGAUUGCCUGAAGACAGAUUUAGGCCUUUGCCAGAUGAAAGAUUCAGAUCAUUGCCUGAUAAUGGGAUGCCAAGGCCUUUUCCACUUGAUCCUGGCAGACACAAUGUAGGUCGUAGGGAGUUCGAAGAAGAUUUGAAACAAUUUCCUAGGCCAAGCCAAUUGGAUGGUGAAGGCAUGCGAAAGUUUGAUAAUUACAUUGCUUCGUCGAGGCCCAUCGACAGGGGAUGGCAGCAGGUUGGUUCUGAUGCUUUACCAAGACCUUAUGAUAGGUCUUUGCCAGGGCCUGAUGGAAUUCCCCGAGCCCUUCCUGCAACUCAACUUGGUCCUUUCCAAGCUGGUAAUGCUGGUCCUUUUUCAGCUAGUGGAGCGGGUUCAGAACACCGCAUGAUAGAUAUUGUAGAAACACGCAGGCCUGCUGGUUUCCGUGAGGAAUUUGGUGCUAUUUCUGAUUUGCACAAGCCUAUUCUUGAAUUCGGCCGUCGUAUGGAUGUUGUACCUUCUGCACGAAGUCCAGUUAGAGAAUUCAGUGGUCUUUCAUCUAGUAAGUUUGGAUCAGGCUCUGGGUCAAGAGGUAUUCCUGAUGGUCCUAGAAGUUUCCGGAUGGAGCAACUUGAUUCAGGUAGAUUUCCGGGCAGUAUAAGAAAGGACUUGGAUGGGAAUAUUCACAUGCACCCUGGAGAACAAUUUGGUCGGGGUCGUAUUUCUAUAGGUGAUCCCAUACUUGGUGGCAGUUAUGGGCGUGACUUUGCAAAUGAAGCUGGACUGUUUAGUACGUUUAACCCUCGUAGUGAAAUGGAGGUCUUUGAGCUGUUAAAGAAGAGGAAGCCUGGGACUAUGGGAUGGUGCCGCAUAUGCAGCAUUGACUGUGAAACAGUGGAGGGCUUGGAUCUGCAUGCACAGACCAGGGAGCACCAAAAGAUGGCCAUGGAUAUGGUGUUUGCAAUUAAGAAAGAAAACAACAAGAAGCAAAGAGUCUCUGAGGGUAUUUUACCCCUUGAAGAUUCAAAAAAAUCAAGGAAAGAUUUUGGAAAGCCUUUGAAAUAGACAGAAAACUCAUGGUUUCUGCUAUAGCGUUGGAUAUGGAUAUUGAGUUGCAAGUUGAAUCAGCAAGUGGGGAUUGAUUUGACAACCAGUAGUCGUAGGCCCUUAUCCAAUGUUUGGAGGGUGCUAAUAGGUUCAGGCAUUCAGUUGUUGAUAGAACCAUGGACUUUCAAUAGCAUCCAUUACUCCCUGGUUCUUUGAGCUGCACAAGUUACAGCAGACCUGGCUUUUGAUCAUAGCCAACAGAACUUUAUAACUCUGUUUCACUGAGGAUUAAUCUUUUGUUGACUUGUUGUUACAAUAAGAAUUUCCACCCACUUAGAAAUUUAAGUUAAUGAGAUUUUGAACUCACUCUCAUCGGUGUUCUUUGGAGCACUAUAAGUAUCAGAUUCUCUUUGGCUCCUCAUCCAAAAUCAAUGGGUUCUCAUCACAUUGGCAGGAAUUGCCUUGUCUUUGAUCAUAUCACUGAUCUUACCAUUUUGGUAGCUUGGAUCCUCUUAUGUAGUAACAAAUCUAAUCUAACUUUUGAUUUUAGGAUUUUUUUUUGUAUAAUGCCUUAUUUUAUGUGCAGAGUAUCUUAAUCUGAAAGCAUCUUCUCAUUAUAUCAUAUUAUAGGUUGUGGUCCAGAAUCAUUCCAAAUUGCAUAUUUUUUGUUUAUGUUAUUUGGUUCUAGAUUCUACAUUGGUACAAUUUCUACAUGGCUGAUUCAUGAUGUUCUUUUUGGAUCCUUAUAUUUUAUAGCAGUUCAGAUAGCCUAUGCUUGCAUUUGUUGGUCGACGUAUAGAUCCUCAACCACAAUCGAUGAUUCUUGAGGACAACAAGCUUAGAACAGGGGAUCCGAUACUGCAUUCGAGAGAGAUGUGUUCUUGUUUGUUUGAUAGUUUUACACAGGAUAUCAGCUACCUGAUCUCUUCCAUCCUGGCUUAAGAUUGCAAUAGAAAGGCUGUAGCAUUUGGCAUUAACUACUGUGACACUACACGGUCUGUUUCUUUUGCCUGGGCAUAUGGGAAUAGUCUUGAGUGAAAUCCUGUACAGUUGCUCAAGCCAGUCACAAUUUUGUGAUGGUUAUGGUGUACUUGUACUUAUCUAGGAUAUACUUUUAGAAAUGGUAAGUAUGAAUAUCUGAAUACUAUCGAAAGAACAAGAUGGAAUUAUCUGCA
Musa acuminata AAA Group (dessert banana) is the source of this 6254-nucleotide RNA transcript. RefSeq lists it as uncharacterized. Lineage: Eukaryota; Viridiplantae; Streptophyta; Magnoliopsida; Zingiberales; Musaceae. The record is from RefSeq and is a predicted model, not a curated record. The transcript is spliced from 11 exons.